RNAcentral lists this ribosomal RNA (466 nucleotides) under uncultured bacterium. RNAcentral's name for it is "partial 16S ribosomal RNA". It matches the Rfam family "Bacterial small subunit ribosomal RNA", at positions 28 to 505 of the family's 1533-position model. The record is from RNAcentral.
GACGAACGCUGGCGGCGUGCUUAACACAUGCAAGUCGAACGGAAAGGCCCUGCUUUUGUGGGGUGCUCGAGUGGCGAACGGGUGAGUAACACGUGAGUAACCUGCCCUUGACUUUGGGAUAACUUCAGGAAACUGGGGCUAAUACCGGAUAGGAGCUCCUGCUGCAUGGUGGGGGUUGGAAAGUUUCGGCGGUUGGGGAUGGACUCGCGGCUUAUCAGCUUGUUGGUGGGGUAGUGGCUUACCAAGGCUUUGACGGGUAGCCGGCCUGAGAGGGUGACCGGCCACAUUGGGACUGAGAUACGGCCCAGACUCCUACGGGAGGCAGCAGUGGGGAAUAUUGCACAAUGGGCGGAAGCCUGAUGCAGCAACUCCGCGUGCGGGAUGACGGCCUUCGGGUUGUAAACCGCUUUCGCCUGUGACGAAGCGUGAGUGACGGUAAUGGGUAAAGAAGCACCGGCUAACUACG